Molecule: ribosomal RNA, 650 nt
Filed under: uncultured Entomoneis
Lineage: Eukaryota; Bacillariophyta; Bacillariophyceae; Surirellales; Surirellaceae
Description: partial Bacterial large subunit ribosomal RNA
Rfam family: Bacterial large subunit ribosomal RNA
Source: RNAcentral
CAAGGAAUUAAGAGUUUAUGGGGGAUACCUUGGCAUUCAGAAGCGAUGAAGGACGUGGUUACCGACGAUACGCUUCGGGGAGCUGGAAACAAGCUACGAUCCGGAGGUCUCCGAAUGAGGAAACUUUAAUACUACUUAUUGAAUACAUAAAUAAGAAAGAGCAAACCUAGGGAAUUGAAACAUCUUAGUACCUAGAGGAAGAGAAAGUAAAAACGAUUCCCUUAGUAGCGGCGAGCGAAGCGGGAACAGCCUAAACUUAAUAAUUAAGGGUAGCGGGACAGUUAGAAAUGAUUAAAUGUAACAAUUAGACGAAUUAGUUGGAAUACUAAACCAAAGAGAGUGAUAGUCUUGUAGUCGAAAAUUGAAACAAUCAAACUGAAUCCCAAGUAGCAUGGAGCACGUGAAAUUCCGUGUGAAUCAGCGAGGACCACCUCGUAAGGCUAAAUAUUCCUGAAUGACCGAUAGUGAAUUAGUACCGUGAGGGAAAGGUGAAAAGAACCCCGGGAGGGGAGUGAAAAGAACAUGAAACCAUAAACUUACAAUCAGUAGGAGGACGACUAAAACGUCUAACUUCGUGCCUGUUGAAGAAUGAGCCGGCGACUUAUAGGUAGUGGCAGGGUAAGGCAGAGAAUGCCGGGGCCAUAGCGAAA